UAACAUAUGCUUGUUAUAAAGAUUAAGCCAUGCAUGUCCAAGUAUAAAAGUAUUCUAUACUUGAAACUGCGAACGGCUCAUUAAAUCAGUUAUAGUUUAUUUGAUGGUACCUUACUACAUGGAUACCUGUGGUAAUUCUAGAGCUAAUACAUGCGUCGAGGCCCGACUCGUGAGGGAAGGGUUGUAUUUAUUAGAUAAAAAACCAAUCCGUAGCAAUACGGUCCCAUUUGGUGAUUCAUAAUAACUGUGCGAAUCGUAUGGCGCAAGCCGACGAUAGU
RNAcentral lists this ribosomal RNA (278 nucleotides) under uncultured eukaryote. RNAcentral describes it as "partial 18S ribosomal RNA". It matches the Rfam family "Eukaryotic small subunit ribosomal RNA", at positions 25 to 294 of the family's 1831-position model. The record is from RNAcentral.